UCAGAGAUGAUUGCCGGCAAUAAGUCUGUGGUAACCCUCAAACCACAAUCUUGUUUGUGGGUUGCCACCAUUACAGACACCAACCAUCUUGCAGCUAUAGUUUACUCCAGCAGCCUCAGCAGAAUUUAUGGUUCCAACAAUUAAAGCAAGUCAACCUUGAAGCAGCACAGCAGCCCCAACCCAUAACCGUACCACCUUGUUUGACUCUUGAUAUGAUGUUCUUUUUAUGAAAUUAUGUUAUUUUCUCAAAUGGAUUAUCAAGAUGUUUUUUGUUUGUUUUUUCGUCAGGAGUACUUUUCUUCCAUGUAUGCUGUUUUUUUCCCCAGUCUCUUUCUUAUUACUGAUUCACAAACUCUGAACGAAGGCAAGUGAGGCCUGCAGUUUAUAAAGUGUUUGUGUGUUUUGUUUUGUUUUUUAACUUCCUGGAUGAGUUGUCGUUGGUGUAAGAGCCUAGCAUGAUGUUUUUGCCUUUUGAAAUCGUUAAGCCUGCUUCACUUUCUCAGACAAAUUUUAUUUAAGCGAUUUCUUGAUUCUGGUCUGGCAGCAAUCAAACCUGGGUGUGGAUAGUGGCACUGAACUAGACUUUCUAAAGAAAAUGUGGUUAAUCAUGGGGUCAUUAUUAUUUUAAAGCUUCACAGUAUAAAAGUCAUUUAGCAGCCAUACUGAAUUAUCCAGGGACUUGAAAUGGAAAUUCCAAAGGUCAUUUGGAGAUAAAACCUGCAUGUGCAGGAUAUCUGGCCCCUCUUUUGCUUAACAAACCUUUAUCACCAAUGAGAGAAACAUAUUUUUGUAUAUUGUCUGGUAAGUAUUAAAGUAUUAUUAUUAUUUGGUUAAUGUAUAUUUUAUUUUAAGGUGUAUUAUUUUUUGUUGUAAUGUAAUGUACUGUGAUGAUGGUUAGAAAGUGUGUGUGUGGCUGCUGAAGAAGUGAUCAGUUGCACUUUGACCUUUAACCUCUCUGCUCUGUGUUGUUUCCUCUUUCAGGCCAGAAAAUCAUCACAGCUGAGUCUGGACAGAACGUCACUCUGCCAUGUCGAGCUCCAAACAACAACAUCAUAGUUGUAGAGUGGAGCAGAGCUGACCUGGGAGAAGAAUAUGUUCUUUAUUACAAGGAUGCGCAGUUUAUUACAGAUGAACAGCAUCCAUCUUUUAAGGACCGUGUCACUCUGCAGGACAGACAGAUGAAGGAUGGAGACGUGUCUUUGAUUCUGAAGAAUGUGACGAUUAAUGAUAAUGGAACAUACGAGUGUCGUGUUGUCCUGCAAGUGAGAGGACCUAUGACUCACAUCAACACCAUCCACCUUCAUGUUGAUCCUCCAGCUGCAGGUCAGACAGGAGGAGACACAGAGGAUGGAGGGAAGGAGGAUGGAGGGAAGGAGGCUGGAGGGAAGGAGGAUAGACAGAGGGAAAAUGGAUCUGUUGGGCUGAAGGUUUGUCUGACAGUUUCUAGCAUGCUUCUUCUUGUUGCUGUUGGUUUUGCAGUCUAGAGAACAACAGAGCCUUCCUGCUGAUAAGCAGCUUGUUUUGAAAUGUCCCAAAGAUUUUAACGGAUUGACUCAGAGUCUCUCAUCGAGCUACCAACUUCUUGGUGUUGUCACAUAAAAUUUCUUUAAUCUGACCAAAGUAAUAAUAAAUAGACAUUGCUUUUCAACCAUGCUUCCACAGUCCUGGACAAAAGUGAUGGUACCCACAACUUCAUAUUUUGUUGCACAACCUUUUGAGGCAAUCACUGCAAUCAAACGAUUCCUGUAACUGUCAAUGAGACUUCUGCCCCUCUAUGCAGGUAUUUUGGCCCACUCCUCAUGAGCAAACUGUUCCAGUUGUUUCCGAUUUGAAGGGCUCCUUUUCCAGACUGCAUGUUUUAGAAUAGAAUUGAGGUCAGGUCUCACAGAAGGCCACCU
Haplochromis burtoni (Burton's mouthbrooder) is the source of this 1898-nucleotide long non-coding RNA. RefSeq lists it as uncharacterized. Lineage: Eukaryota; Metazoa; Chordata; Actinopteri; Cichliformes; Cichlidae. The record is from RefSeq and is a predicted model, not a curated record. The transcript is spliced from 2 exons.